UACAGAGGCCUCAAGCGUUGUUCGGAAUAACUGGGCGUAAAGGGUGCGCAGGUGGACCGGAUAGUCGCGCGUUAAAUGCCAUUGCUUCACAAUGAAUAUGCGUGCGAUACUUCCGGCCUAGAGCUAUGGAGAGGGGGUUGGAACUCACAAAGUAGCAGUGAAAUGCGUGGAUAUUGUGAAGAAGGCCAAGUGCGAAAGCAGACCCCUGGACAUAUGCUGACACUCAGGCACGAAGGCCAAGGUAGCAAACGGG
RNAcentral lists this ribosomal RNA (253 nucleotides) under uncultured bacterium. Its description in RNAcentral is "partial 16S ribosomal RNA". It matches the Rfam family "Bacterial small subunit ribosomal RNA", at positions 524 to 776 of the family's 1533-position model. The record is from RNAcentral.